UUGCGCAUCGCCUGUUUAUGUGGCCGUUCGGGCCGGCAGUUUCGUGGACCUCGCGCAUCAACUGCUUGUGAGGCCGUAUGGGCCGGCAGUUUCGUGGACCUCGCGCAUCAACUGCUUAUGAGGCCGUUCGGGCCGGCAGUUUCGUGGACCUCGCGCAUCAACUGCUUAUGAGGCCGUUCGGGCCGGCAGUUUCGUGGACCUCGCGCAUCAACUGCUUGUGAGGCUGUUCGGGCCGGCAGUUUUGUGGACCUCGCGCAUCAACUGCUUAUGAGGCCGUUCGGGCCGGCAGUUUCGUGGACCUCGCGCAUCAACUGCUUAUGAGGCCGUUCGGGCCGGCAGUUUCGUGGACCUCGCGCAUCAACUGCUUAUGAGGCCGUUUGGGCCAGGCAGUUUUCGUGGAAUUGCGCAUCGCCUGUUAUGUGGCCGUUUGGGCCAGGCAGUUUUCGUGGAAUGCGCAUCGCCUGUUAUGUGGCCGUUUGGGCCAGGCAGUUUUCGUGGAAUUGCGCAUCGCCUGUUAUGUGGCCGUUUGGGCCAGGCAGUUUUCGUGGAAUGCGCAUCGCCUGUUAUGUGGCCGUUUGGGCCAGGCAGUUUUCGUGGAAUUGCGCAUCGCCUGUUAUGUGGCCGUUUGGGCCAGGCAGUUUUCGUGGAAUUGCGCAUCGCCUGUUAUGUGGCCGUUUGGGCCAGGCAGUUUUUCGUGGAAUGCGCAUCGCCUGUUAUGUGGCCGUUUGGGCCAGGCAGUUUUCGUGGAAUUGCGCAUCGCCUGUGUAUGUGGCCGUUUGGGCCAGGCAGUUUUCGUGGAAUUGCGCAUCGCCUGUUAUGUGGCCGUUUGGGCCAGGCAGUUUUCGUGGAAUUGCGCAUCGCCUGUUAUGUGGCCGUUUGGGCCAGGCAGUUUUCGUGGAAUUGCGCAUCGCCUGUUAUGUGGCCGUUUGGGCCAGGCAGUUUUNNN
This 946-nucleotide long non-coding RNA is filed under the name Volvox carteri. RNAcentral's name for it is "long non-coding RNA (VCAR_LNC000062)". The record is from RNAcentral. Lineage: Eukaryota; Viridiplantae; Chlorophyta; Chlorophyceae; Chlamydomonadales; Volvocaceae.